UGACACAAGAAAAACAAAAGCAACAAUAAAUUCAGAAACAACAUAUAGAUGGAACCCCACUUAUUUUCUAGAACAACAUACUCAAAAGAUUCACCCAAGUAAUGUCCAAGUACCUCUUCAGAGACUGACUUCCAAGAAUCACUAGUGUUGCUGCUGCUUCUAUUGCGACGAUUGCUACUCUCAUUUGCUAGCAGGUUUGCUUCUUUCAGCUCUUCGUUGUCUUUCUCUUUCUUCUCUAAGUCAUCUCUCUCUAUUUCACUACUAGAGGUUGUAUUUGAACCACAAGAAGAGCGAUCAACUUGUUUUCUGCUCUUUGUUUUGUUUGAAUCAAGAAUUUCAGCAGUUACUGCCGUAGCUUUCUCAUGAUCAGC
This 371-nucleotide long non-coding RNA is filed under the name Carica papaya (papaya). RNAcentral describes it as "long non-coding RNA (CPAP_LNC008459)". The record is from RNAcentral. Lineage: Eukaryota; Viridiplantae; Streptophyta; Magnoliopsida; Brassicales; Caricaceae.